This 201-nucleotide long non-coding RNA is filed under the name Panax ginseng (ginseng). Its description in RNAcentral is "long non-coding RNA (PGIN_LNC002047)". Lineage: Eukaryota; Viridiplantae; Streptophyta; Magnoliopsida; Apiales; Araliaceae. The record is from RNAcentral.
UUGGUGUUUAUUAGAAUCAAUUCUUUGUGGGUUCGACAACUCUCUUAUAAUUGUAUUACUUGUUGACCGCAUAUACUUGCGCAUGUGUGUUUUCGAUUGCAAAAUCGACCAACAACCUUCUUUGAGUCUCCUCCUCAACGGCUAAGCCACCAAAUCUCAUCUUCUGAUGUCUUCGCUGAGUCUCGUCCUCAAUGGAUAUAC